Long non-coding RNA from Piliocolobus tephrosceles (Ugandan red Colobus), 1575 nucleotides. The record is from Ensembl. NCBI's taxonomy places the organism in Eukaryota, Metazoa, Chordata, Mammalia, Primates, Cercopithecidae.
ACAAAUAAACAGAGUUUAAAUAUAACAGAUAAAAUACUAUUUGAAAAAUUACUUAAUGUUUUGAUAAAAAAAAAUAUUUGCUUUGUAAAACCUAGACAUUUCCUCAUGUGUUGUUAUACAUUAAUUAUACAUACAUAUUUUACGAAUGUUGAUGUAGCUUAUUAUUUUUUGAAAAACUGUACUAAACUGAUUUCCAAGUUAAAACAGAAGGUUUAUAUUAACAAUUUUUUGUUUGUAUUAACAGGAUUUGUACAAAAUGGAUUUUUGUUUUGUAAAAAGAUGAAUAAUAAAUUUAGUGGUCACGGUAUUACUAAUAAUACAUAUGAUAGGGAUUCUUACUACGAUACGUAUCCUACGAUAUACAUUAACAACAAAACAAACGACAUGACUAAUUUAAAAAUAGGAAACAAACAUUUUGAAGAAAUGAAUAAUGAAAUAACCAGUUUUGGACUAGUAGAAGCACAGAAAAAUGAUAAAAAAAAAAACACACAAACUAUGAAUGCGAGGUUAGCUAUUCUAUACAUAUUCAACGAAAUAAUUAAUUUGGAUUAUGAUUUAAAUGUAAAACAAAUUUUACUGUAUAUACAAUUAUUUGCAAGUUAUAAUAUUAAAUUGAAUAGCGAAAUUAAACAAAAAAUUUGCCAUUUGAUUAGUAACAGCGUUCAUGAUUUAGUUUCUUCUAUAAAUUUGGUUCUGCAACUAUCCAUUAAAAUAUUUGAAAUAAACAGUGAUUAUUUUAAAAAUAUAGCUACUACUUUUUUAGAUAAAAUGAAUUGUGAGUUGGUGCAGUUUUAUAGUAUUUUGAUCAAUAAUUCGAAACAGUAUUUUUUUGACUGUAUUGUGAAAGGGGCAGGUGGUGGUACAAGUUACGACACGAUUGACCAAAAUGCAAAUAUGCAUUACGCCUACUUAACCAAUAUAGACACUCUAGGAAACACCUUGUUUAUAUUUGAUCAAGUUGAUCUUAAUAAAAAAGAAUUCAUAUUAAAUGUUAUUAAUCUUUUGUCUAUUCACAAUUAUUUAUUAUUAAAAUAUAAAAAAAUAAAUUUCAAUUCACUUGUUUAUGUACUUCAUUAUAUUUGUUCUAGUUAUAUAGAUACAGAAGAAUAUGUUAAAUUGGUGGGUUUUAUUAUGAUUAAUAUGCGUAUGUAUAUAGAUUCAUGUUAUCGACAGUAUGUGCAAACUGUUGGUAAAAAAAUGGACGUAUGUGUCGUAAAUCGUGAGAAGGACAGUGCUACUGUUAGCGGUGGUAAUAAUACUAGUACUAACAACAGUAGUAUAAGCAAUAGUAGUGACGAUAAUAGUGAAGAAGCAUGUACUGCGGAAGAGUGUGCAUUUGAUGGAGUGAGUCAUGACAUUAUAAAAGAUAAAAUAUAUAUAAAGGAUAUAAUUAUAUUUUUAGAUUUUAUGCGCAUUAGCAAGUUAUAUAUUAACGAUACUGUUUUAGGCACUUUGAUCGAAAUGGUAUGUUAUACCUGCUUGCACACGUUCGUACGUUCCAUUGGUGUUAUUUCGCAUGUUAUUCGGUUAUAACUACAUACAUACGACUAAGUGGAUGUAUUGACAUGUGAAUAU